CCGCUCUCGCCAUAUGAACAUUUGCCGGGUUUGGGAUGAUGAUCCCGUUCCCGUAUAGUUCAGGACGCGAGAGGCCCGGCUGCGACGCCCUGUACAUAUUGCUGUUAGGAUGAACGCUGCCCAAUCGCUGGCCGUAUCCCGGAAACGCGGAGCGGGCGUCCUGCGGGCAAAGGAUCUGCACGGCGGAGGCGAGCAACCGGAGGCAAAAUGAGUCUCCAUUGGUCUUACGUCUUGGAGGUCGAGAUCGCAGUUCAGCUCGGGGCUGACCGCCGAGAGCUUCAUCGAGAGGAACUGCAGAAACCAAAACGGGCAACACUAGGAGCUUCAGCCAUUGUUGGCCAAGAGUGAGUGAUCUUUGAGGAAUCUGUUUCGGUGUGCUUACCUCGACCUGCCGCUGCAGGGACUGCACAUAGUUUAUGAUCUCGUCGAGCAUCAUGGCCUUGCCUGUAAUCUUCUUUGUCACAGGCAGCCGCAUCGGUUAGACCUGGGACGAGGUCUUGUAGAUGCUUCAUCCUCUCGUUGAUCUUCUCCCUCCGAAACUGCAUUUCAGACGGACAAGCUAUUACAAGCAAGAAAAUUGCAGCCCUUUCAAUUAUGUUACUGGAGAGAUUGGUCACUCACCCUUUCUGCAAGGCUGUGGUUGUUGGUCGCCUGGCCGCGCUUCGCCCGGAUAUGCACGUAGUCCUCUCUGUUGCUAGCAGCAUCACCUUCCUUCUCGCCAGCGCGCUCCAUGCUGACCUCUCUCUGAGACAUGCCACCGGUUUCCUCCUGCUGUGUGAUAUGUAAACGAUGAGAUGCAGCCCAAAAUGAUGAAACUACUAAGAACAGGGAAGGGAAGAAUUUCUA
Triticum urartu is the source of this 846-nucleotide non-coding RNA. NCBI's taxonomy places the organism in Eukaryota, Viridiplantae, Streptophyta, Magnoliopsida, Poales, Poaceae. The record is from RefSeq and is a predicted model, not a curated record.